RNAcentral lists this ribosomal RNA (943 nucleotides) under uncultured Bacillota bacterium. RNAcentral describes it as "bacterial SSU rRNA". It matches the Rfam family "Bacterial small subunit ribosomal RNA", at positions 1 to 917 of the family's 1533-position model. The record is from RNAcentral. Lineage: Bacteria; Bacillati; Bacillota.
UGGAUCCACACUUUGAUUAUGGCUCAGGAUGAACGCUGGCGGCGUGCCUAACACAUGCAGGUCGAACGGAUUCAUAUUUGAAAAUGCUGAUGCUUGCAUCAGCAGGUGAUAUAUGAAUUAGUGGCGGACGGGUGAGUAACGCGUGGAAAACCUGCCGUAUACCGGGGGAUAACACUUAGAAAUAGGUGCUAAUACCGCAUAAGCGCACAGCUCCGCAUGAAGCAGUGUGAAAAACUCCGGUGGUAUACGGUGGUUCCGCGUCUGAUUAGCUAGUUGGCGGGGUAAAGGCCCACCAAGGCAGCGAUCAGUAGCCGGCCUGAGAGGGUGGACGGCCACAUUGGGACUGAGACACGGCCCAGACUCCUACGGGAGGCAGCAGUGGGGAAUAUUGCACAAUGGGGGAAACCCUGAUGCAGCGACGCCGCGUGAGUGAAGAAGUAUUUCGGUACGUAAAGCUCUAUCAGCAGGGAAGAAAUGCUGUCCUGACGGACGGCAGACGGUACCUGACCAAGAAGCCCCGGCUAACUACGUGCCAGCAGCCGCGGUAAUACGUAGGGGGCAAGCGUUAUCCGGAUUUACUGGGUGUAAAGGGAGCGCAGACGGCAGCGCAAGUCUGGAGUGAAAUGCCGGGGCUCAACCCCGGAACUGCUCUGGAAACUGUGCGGCUGGAGUGCAGGAGGGGUAAGCGGAAUUCCUAGUGUAGCGGUGAAAUGCGUAGAUAUUAGGAGGAACACCGGUGGCGAAGGCGGCUUACUGGACUGUAACUGACGUUGAGGCUCGAAAGCGUGGGGAGCAAACAGGAUUAGAUACCCUGGUAGUCCACGCCGUAAACGAUGAUUACCAGGUGUCGGGGGACCAAGGUUCUCCGGUGCCGGCGCAAACGCAUUAAGUAAUCCACCUGGGGAGUACGUUCGCAGGAAUGCAACUCAAAGGAAUUGACGGA